Bubalus bubalis (water buffalo) is the source of this 2307-nucleotide RNA transcript. RefSeq lists it as uncharacterized. The transcript is spliced from 5 exons. NCBI's taxonomy places the organism in Eukaryota, Metazoa, Chordata, Mammalia, Artiodactyla, Bovidae. The record is from RefSeq and is a predicted model, not a curated record.
GCUGUGACUCCGGGAACAGCUGUGGGGAGGACGCACCGUGUCCAUCAGCUGCUCGCCCCUGAUUUUCACGCCGUCGGAAACGGAGCGCUUUAACUCUUUGGCGCCCUGGGGUCUUCCUGCCCCGGGGGCGACUGUCAGGGGACGUCCACAGUGGCCUGGCGGGCGUGCGCAGGCCCGUGGCCGCGUCCUGGAGGCCUCUCGCCAUCGGACUCCAGCAGCUGUCACGGCGGCGCCGGGCAAGGAGACCACGGGCGAGGCCAGCAGAAGGUCAGGGCCGGCAGUGCGCUCACGGCAGGAAGCAGGGCCCAUAUCACUGCCGGUGCGGCCCUUAAAAGAUGCGCCCAUGACGCCUGCCGCCUGCCGUCUGGCUCGGAGCACCCCGGGACACGGGCGCCAGAGCCCUGGGCCCAGGCCCACAGACCACGGACCCACGCGCUGGGCCACACGGCCCGGAUGUGCUGCCUGGAGGUGUCCUCGGCCCAGAGCCCGGCCUCGCGUGUUAAAGCCGUCAAGCAGCUUCUCGGACAAGACCGAAGCCUGCACACAGCCUUCCCUGCUCUCCCCGUGGGUGGACCUCCACACAAGCUGGAAUCGCCGGUGGGAGCCACGACGCCCAGCCCACGACCAUGGGGUGGCCUGUGUCACCUCUGAGGUCAGCGGGGGGGCUGCGGAGCAGCAGCGUCCCCCCAGGGUCUGCCUUCAGGGAUGUGCCAGUGGCUCUCUCCCCAGGGAAGAAGAGGGAGCGGCAGGCCGCCUGCUCAUCAGGGCUCUCCAGACGCUCCGCGCACUUCAGGGUACGGGCGGCACGCGCCAGGCCACGGGCGAGCAGAGACGGAGCCGUGAAGCCCCACGUCCACCAAGCUGGGAAGAGCAAAGACGCUGGGCACUGCACGAGGAGCCAUCACGGGGAAGGUCAGGAAACGUACCUUUCCCACCCACGCCCCCUGGACCUGCUUCCUGAGCUGUCGACUCAUGUCCUCGAGGCCGUGGCCAGAAACGGGGGCCCAUGCGGGCUCUGAUCUGGAAAGUGAGUUUUCCUCUGAGCAAAACAAAAGAUCUGAAGCAGACACACCCUGUGGAAAGCUUUCUUUCCAAGCCAGCCUCGCAAAGAGGAAUUUUAAUCCAACCAUCUGCUUCCUCCACUUCUUGUCCACCUGGCUCUCAGACACAGAAAAGUCAGAGGCAGAGGGACACUCGCGGCUCUGGAAAUUUAGGGUCAAGAGCAAAGGACCCACCCCCACCCACCCAGAUGCUUCCCAGACAUACGCUGCCAGAAACCGCCCGGAGGAGUCCCGCUCAACUGCCUCGGCCCUAAGCUUAAGGCUUCGCUGCACCAGCCGCUGCCUUGGGCUGGCAGGGCCGUGAAAGGGCAGGACCUGCAGAGAAGCCUUGCAAUUCUGAGCCCAAACCCUUCUGUUCUGGGCAGAAGAGUCCAGGCUGCAGAGCUGCUCAGCAGCUACCAGGGAAGCCGGUGAACUGAGCCCAGGUGUCAGCAGUUAUCAGAGAAAUGACGCCCUCUCAUCUCAAACGUGGUAUCAGGUCAUCGCACCCGGGGUGCCUGGCACAGGGAAGUCGACUCAGCGGAGGGAGAGGGGGUUUGGGGUUGACUAUGAGGUCCACCCCCGCGUCCACCCUCCACGGGUCUGCGAGGAGCCACAGAGCAGAGUGAGAGGGCAGCCCACAACACUAGGGAGGACUGAGUGGGGCGGGCAGUCCCGGGAGGGGGGACUGGCCCCAUGGGUGUCUGAAGACCGAGCCUCUCCAAUGCCAACCUCCCACCUGCUCUGGGAAGCGGCCUCGUCCCCAUGCUGGGGGCCAGGAGGGACCAACCCCAAACUCAGGUCUCCUGGACACUCCGACCGCCUUCCUGGGCAACCAGCCAGCACAACGUACCACAAGCCUGAAAACCCAGCCUGGCACCUGGCUAGUGCCGCCACACUCCUCUGGGAGCCGACCCUGCAGAAGACCACUCCUCAGGCUCCACCCCUGACACAGGAGAGACGGCCCAGCGACCUCGGUCUCCACCGAAGCCCUUAACACAGAGAGAAGUCCCAGCGACCUUGGGGACACGGCUUCAGUCCCUGGUCUGGGAAGAGUCCACAUUCCACGGACAACUGAUUCAUGGACGUAGACCCCAAGCUCCGUACCAGGGAGAGCCACAGCGGUGAGAAGCCCAGACGCUCUGCCCCGAGGACCCCCGCUCUGCGCAACUACAGGAAAACCUGUGCACAGCACGAAGGCCCAGUGCAAUCAAAGAUGAACAAAUAAAAUCAGUUUUUCAAAAGCUGUCAUUAUUAAAAAAACAAA